Molecule: ribosomal RNA, 262 nt
Filed under: uncultured prokaryote
Description: partial 16S ribosomal RNA
Rfam family: Bacterial small subunit ribosomal RNA
Source: RNAcentral
UACGUAGGGUGCGAGCGUUGUCCGGAAUUACUGGGCGUAAAGAGCUCGUAGGUGGUUUGUCACGUCGUCUGUGAAAUUCCGGGGCUUAACCUCGGGCGUGCAGGCGAUACGGGCAAUACUUGAGUGCUGUAGGGGAGGACUGGAAUUCCUGGUGUAGCGGUGAAAUGCGCAGAUAUCAGGAGGAACACCAAUGGCGAAGGCAGGUCUCUGGGCGAGUAACUGACGCUGAGGAGCGAAAGCAUGGGUAGCGAACAGGAUUAGA